AUGGGUUUCAUGAAUCACCAUAUCCAGAGAUUCGUCGACACAGCUUGUUGCCAGAAUUACCGAUGCAAGUCGAAGAAGGAUUGGCCGGUGCUGCCGGCUGGCGUCAAGUUCGAUCCCACGGAUCAGGAGCUGAUCGAGCACCUUGAGGCCAAAGUGAGUGCUGACAGCGCGAGAUUUCAGUCUCUCAUCGAUUUGUUCAUACCAACCGUCGACAGCGAACACAACAUAUGCUACACUCAACCUGAGAAACUUCCAGGUAUUACACUGAGUGACCUAAGGAAGCAAUUCUUCCAGCGCAAUUCCAGGGCGUUCAAAAGGGGCACGUGGACACGUCGCAAGAUACAGUUGGAGUGCGGCAUGCACACGAUGUGGCACAAGACCGGCAAUACCUUGCCGGUGAUGGUCAACGGCCGGCAGACGGGCAGCAAAAAAGGUUUUGGUGCUGCACACCAACAAGAACUUCGACCAGCAGAGGACCAACUGGGUGAUGCACUAGUACCACCUCGGGGACCUGGAGCAAGAGAAGGAGUGGGCACUGGUCGAGCAAGUUUCAACUGGGCUGCAGACUGCACAGGGUUGGUUUUGUUUUUAACAGGCCCAGCCCAUGACAACAAUGGGGCACAAAGAUCCAGCAGAUAG
Molecule: ribosomal RNA, 639 nt
Filed under: Triticum aestivum (bread wheat)
Lineage: Eukaryota; Viridiplantae; Streptophyta; Magnoliopsida; Poales; Poaceae
Description: partial small subunit ribosomal RNA
Source: RNAcentral